This 269-nucleotide ribosomal RNA is filed under the name uncultured archaeon. Its description in RNAcentral is "partial 16S ribosomal RNA". It matches the Rfam family "Archaeal small subunit ribosomal RNA", at positions 477 to 746 of the family's 1478-position model. The record is from RNAcentral.
CAGCACCUCAAGUGGUCAGGAUGAUUAUUGGGCCUAAAGCAUCCGUAGCCGGCGCUGUAAGUUUUCGGUUAAAUCUGUACGCUCAACGUACAGGCUGCCGGGAAUACUGCAGCGCUAGGGAGUGGGAGAGGUAGACGGUACUCGGUAGGAAGGGGUAAAAUCCUUUGAUCUAUCGAUGACCACCUGUGGCGAAGGCGGUCUACCAGAACACGUCCGACGGUGAGGGAUGAAAGCUGGGGGAGCAAACCGGAUUAGAUACCCGAGUAGUC